GAUCUCUGGAGAGUCCCUUUUAUGGGCGCCGAAGGUGUAAGGCAGGCUUUUCCUUUUCCAUGUAUCUGGUGGAAAAAGCGGGGCUGCUGAUCUCUCAGGCAAACGGACAGAGCA
RNAcentral lists this non-coding RNA (114 nucleotides) under bovine gut metagenome. Its description in RNAcentral is "Glycine riboswitch". It matches the Rfam family "Glycine riboswitch aptamer", at positions 9 to 86 of the family's 94-position model. Rfam says of the family: This family represents the bacterial glycine riboswitch. Glycine riboswitches usually consist of two metabolite-binding aptamers domains with similar structures in tandem. The record is from RNAcentral.